Molecule: long non-coding RNA, 1495 nt
Filed under: Gouania willdenowi (blunt-snouted clingfish)
Lineage: Eukaryota; Metazoa; Chordata; Actinopteri; Blenniiformes; Gobiesocidae
Description: lncRNA (ENSGWIG00000021049.1)
Source: RNAcentral
AACAAAACUCAAAACAACACCAAAAAGCUGUUGGAAUUUUCCGCCUCAUUUAAAGGGCAGGUUGAUCAUCUUGAGGGGCUUUGUAUCCUUUGGGGUCUCUCUGUUCAAAUUCUGCUCAACUCUCUGGAUAAGAUUUUGGGUACAUCAACUGCAACUAAACAGCUCAAUCCUAAAAAACUGCUUUUAGUGUUGUCUGAGAAUUCACUUCGAAUCCAAGAGGCAGUCAGAAUCACCGCUGUGAGCUGCAGAAGUGCUUACAGGUCCAAACAGUUGACAGAUUAUGAGGAUGAACUAAAAACACUGACUGAGGACUACCUUGAAGCUGCUGAGGAACUUCACAUAAUGCCCAGUGUGACGAAAUUAGCUAAAUCAGAGUUCAUUCAGAGACACCUUUGGAUUAAAAUCAGAAUGCUUUUGGGCCAUUUAAGCAAAGAAAACAAAGACUAUGUUACAGCUUUUCAAAAUAUUGUCAGUAUUGCAUACAUUGCUGCUGAGCACAGCACAGAAGAGGCUGAAGCCAAAUUUAAAAACGCCGCUCAAACAUUGGUGGGAAACUUUGAAUCAGCGACAAAAAUACUGGGGCGCAGCUUAAACUACAUCCGAGACCCCCGAACCCGCUCCAACCUGAGGUCUAUCACUGACCAUCUGUCCAUUCAGAUCUCUGAGAUCAUCAGCAGGGCCAGGCUCAUGGUUGAGACGCACUACAUUUGCGAUACUCUCAGUCUAGAUGUGCACAUACAAGGCUGGUGUGCAAAAGCUCGUUUUGUGGUAGAAGAAAUACAAAAGCAGGAAGGGAUUCACCAAGAGGCUAAAGACCAAAUCAAGUUGGGAUUCGAGGGCAGAAAUCCUGAAGUAGUGACAAGAAUCCCAACCAAGGUUAUAGAGGUGGACUUUUCUCCCCACAACACAAUGAGUUCAGCUCAGAAUGACGACCCAGUUCAUCAUUUACCCACUAUUCAAACUGAUGUACAUAGUGUACCAAAAUACCAGCCUGGGAAAUGUAUAAAACAUGAUGGCGGAUACAAAGCAGACUCCUCCCUAACCUACACCUCCCUGUUCCUGAAGCGUGAAAGCAACACGUGGGAUCCAAAAGACAACAGAAUUGUCCAGGUGACCAGGAAAAUGGCUGACACUAUAUGUUACAUGACUCAGUACCUGAAGAAGAGAGGCCCACUACUGGUAACAUGCUUCACAGCCCACGUUUCCAAAUACCUGCAAGCAUUCAUUGACUUUAUUCUUCCAGAACAAAGAGGCAUUUGUCAGCGCAGCCAAAGACCUGAUCUCACAGUGCCAGUCAGUCACUCACUUCCUCAGAGUUAUCUCUUACCACAGUCUGGAUAAACAGUGUACUGUUGAACUGUCCCUCAUUGUGGAGCAGAUUCUCACCAUCACCAAUCAGCUCAGCAUCAUCUCCAGGUCAGGAAGCUGCAGCUCAAACAACUAUAUAGGAAAUAAGAGGAAUAAAGGUGACAGGAGUGUUUUUUUUUCCUUCUUG